CAUGGACUCUACAAGGUGUCGAAAGCUUUCCACAGGGAUGCUGGCCCAUGUUGACUCCAAUGCUUCCCACACAAGUUGGCUGGAUGUCCUUUGGGUGCAGGGGAGGCUCCUCAGAGGAGGAAGGGGAUGCUCCUCAGAGGAGGAAGGGGACGCUCCUGAGAGGAGGAAGGGGAGGCUCCUCAGAGGAGGAAGUGGAGGCUCCUGAGAGGAGGAAGGGGAGGACCCUCCUCAGUGAUUUUCAUAAAAAUAAAAAUGAUAAAACAUGUAAAAAAGUUUAAUCCUUUUUAGAUAUUAGAAAUUACGGUACGUUCUUUCCAAUACAAAAGUGUAGUGUAGUGUAUUGUUUCCAAACUGCGUUACCCACUCCAGACGGCGAUGAGCGUCUUUCAGGUGAUGAUUCUUCCGUGACGUAUAAUGGACUGGACGGACGCUUCUUCAGGAACACCAACGCGGCUACUCUUUCAACCACCUCGGUAGCUUGCUAGCCAACAUAAAAGUGAAAGAUUGACGAUUUAGACCAUCUUAAUGUACAUUAUCUAAUCUCAGUGUUUUAAACACAGUUCUGUUGACGUAUUAACUGGUUAACUGUAACCUAAUUUGCAAACUUGUUAAAGAUUGAUGCUGAGCCUAGCACUAGGCUAUUCGCUAAUGCUAACGAGCUAGCUAACAUCCCUGACCAUGAGUUCAUUAAAGUACCCAUCCCCUGCUAUAGAAGAGGAGGUCUGCUGUUUGCAGAAAGAAGCUCUGGCAAUGAACAUUGAAGAAGAGGUUACAGUGAAAGAAGAGAAAGAACCUUUUAGAAUGAAAAAGGAGGAAGAGGAGGCUGUUAUAGUGAAGGAAGAAGAUGCUGUUAUAGUGAAAGAACAUUUCAGAAUGAAAAAGGAGGAAGAGGAGGCUGUUAUAGUGAAGGAAGAAGAUGCUGUUAUAGUGAAAGAACAUUUCAGAAUGAAAAAGGAGGAAGAGGAGGCUGUUAUAGUGAUAGAAGAGAAUGAACCUUUUAGAGAGGAAGAGGAUGCUGUUUCAAUAAAGGUGAAGGAGGAAGACGUUUUGGGAGUGAAAGAGGAGGAGACAGAAUAUCCGAUUACCAUCAGAGAGAGACAUGACUAUGGUGGAUCCUCUGGGGAGCCUCAACAACAUCCUGAUGCUGACGAGGCAGAGAAGAGUCUCUCCAGAUCAGAACACCAGAUGGUACAACUUGGUCUGGUCUAGCAUACAGCUUGGUUUGGUCUAGCAUACAGCUUGAUCUGGUCUAGCAUACAGCUUGGUCUGGUCUAGCAUACAGCUUGCUCUAUCUGGGUCUGGGCUGGGUUUCUGUAAAGCACAUAAUGACAUGUGUCUGUGUCCCCUCUUUAUGGUUACUAGGACAAUGCUAGCCCUUCCUCCCUCCCGGAGUCCCCGCGUCAUGCCUCUCCCGGUAGCACCUUACUGCUGGGUAUGAAGAGGUUGUCUGUGCUGCUGGUGGACUGCAGGAAAAAAAUGGGGCUGAGUGGAACUGUGAGAGGAGGAGAAGAGAAGAAAGGAUCAGAUUUGACUCAUCAAAGUAAGUGCUGUAGUUUAGUUUGAACAAAUACAAUAGAUCUGCCCACCGGUAUCUGUUACCAGGAUAACCAGCAGAGUUCUGUUAGUUGACAGGAAGAUAGACUGGUAUCUGUUACCAGGACAACCAGCAGAGUUCUGUUAGUUGACAGGAAGAUAGAGUGGAUGUUAUGAAUAUCAUAACACUGAAAAAGGAUUCUGCCAAUGAAAAGAGAGAAACCAAUAGACCAUAUAAAACCUUGAUGAAAGGUAGCUUUGGAGAGAAAGUUUCAAGAUGAUCCAAUGUAAGGUGCUUGUUUUACAAAAACUUUUCCUUAAAACAUUAUGGAUGUUACAUUGCCUGUCGCAGUCAACGCCCCUAUCUUUAAAAGACUGUAGAACAGGCAAACUAAACUCAAUACUUUGGUCAUUAAUUAACUAAUACUGGAGGAAAGCUGUGAUCAGGUUGCCUACUCAAGCAAAAGCUUCAAACUGUAACCAGUGCUGGCAACCUGGUUCAGGUUAUCAAUCAACCUACCAGGGUAGUGACAAACAGUAGAGGAAUGAAAUCAUCAACAUGGUUUGAUCAUAUCUUUACUAAUGCUGCAGAAAUGGGUUUUAAAGCAGUAUCCAGAUCCACCAGAUGUAGUGAUCACAAUAUAGUAGCCAUGUCUAGGAAAACCACAGUUCCAAAGGCUGGGACUAAUAUUGUGUACCGUAAUUUCCGGACUAUAAGCCGCUACUUUAUUCCCAACCUUUGAACCUCGCGGUUUAUACAAUGACGCGGCUAAUUUAUGGAUUUUUCCCGCUUUCACAAGAUUCAUGCUGCCAAAAAACUGAGCACCGUCACAUAAUGUGACGUAAAUCGAGCGCGCUCAAACUUCCCAUCAUUCUGAUUACGGUAGUAAUUUUUGUCACCCUCAUCAUGGCAAAGACACGGAGAAAUGCAUAUGAUGCAGCUUUCAAGUUGAAGGCGAUCGAUCUGGCUGUUGGAAAAGGAAAUAGAGCUGCUGCACGGGAGCUUGGCCUUAAUGAGUCGAUGAUAAGACGUUGGAAACAGCAGCGUGAGGAACUGACUCAGUGCAAAAAGACAACAAAAGCUUUCAGAGGGAAGAAAAGCAGAUGGCCCAAAGUAUUUGCAGCCACUCGACAUCAGUGUAAAUCGUGCAUUUAAGGUGGCGCUCCUUGUUCAGUGGGAGGCUUGGAUGACAAGUGGGGAGAAAUCCUUCACUAAAAUGGGCCGCAUGCGAAGAGCAACUUAUGGUCAAGUCUGCCAGUGGGUCCUGACAGCGUGGAGCAUUGUCAAAAAAAUCCACUAUCAUCAACGGGUUUCGAAAGGCUGGACUG
Molecule: long non-coding RNA, 2862 nt
Organism: Oncorhynchus mykiss (rainbow trout)
Lineage: Eukaryota; Metazoa; Chordata; Actinopteri; Salmoniformes; Salmonidae
Source: Ensembl